GACUACGGCCAUGCCACCCUGAACAAGCCCAAUACCCUCUGAUCUCGGAAGCUAAGCAGGGUCAGGCCUGGUUGGUACUUGGAUGGGAGACCAUCUAGGAAGACCAAGUGCUAUAGGUG
Molecule: ribosomal RNA, 119 nt
Filed under: Pteropus alecto (black flying fox)
Lineage: Eukaryota; Metazoa; Chordata; Mammalia; Chiroptera; Pteropodidae
Source: RNAcentral